Antechinus flavipes (yellow-footed antechinus) is the source of this 1015-nucleotide long non-coding RNA. RefSeq lists it as uncharacterized. The transcript is spliced from 3 exons. NCBI's taxonomy places the organism in Eukaryota, Metazoa, Chordata, Mammalia, Dasyuromorphia, Dasyuridae. The record is from RefSeq and is a predicted model, not a curated record.
GGCCUAGAAACCCAUCGACUGUUAUCUGGGUUCCCCCGGACGUUUAUUUCCGAUGCCGUUUGACCCGGGCUGGGGGCCCUCAGGGGUCCUGGGGCCCCACGGCUGCCUCUUGUGGAGGGUCCGGGGCUGGGACCUGGGGCAGUGGGAGGAUUCACCCCGGCGGCCUCUGACUCCAAAGCUGCUCUCUCCCUGCUGCACCCGCCUGUUCUAAGGGCCCUGGGUUCUGGGUCCAGGACGGCCGUGGAUCGGCCAGAGGCUCGGCCCGGGGUCACACAGCCCGGGGUCCGGGCCGCCGCCCCUUCCGCUCCCUGGGGGGGGGACCCUCCCAACCCAGGCACCUGCUCCCCCUCCCGCUCCGGCCGGGUCAAGGGGCAGGGUCGGGCGGUCCCCGAGAGAGCGAAGGCCCCGACGCUGCCCCCUGCGCGACAUCUCUCCCGCCCCUGAGACACAUGACGUCACGGAUCCUCCGUCGCCCAGCCGCGAGAUGAGGAAACUGAGGCAAACACAGAGGACUUGCCCAGGCAGGCUCUGGGGCGGCCCCAGUGCCCACCAGUUCCAGGGACUGUAGAAAGUUCCCAGCUCUAGCUGGGCACAGACUGAUAAGGAGAACCUCACCCGCAGACUGGCUGGGAAAGGGCUUUGGAGAGCCCGGCCCUGCCUCCCAGCAGGAAAUGUGGAAGAGACUUCCCGUCUCAGGCUGGAGUUGCCUGCAUUUUGUGAUCUCCAGGCCCGGCUUCUACACUGUAUUCCUAAAAAAUGGGCUAAAUGCAAAUUUAAUAGCCAGAACUCGUUUUGAAGAUACUAAGGGAGCUCGGUCCCUAAAACUGGGGCCCUCGGUCUUUUCUGAGUGUGCCAUUGACCGUGUUGGGAGCCUGGCAAAGCCCUUUGGACCCCUUCUCGGAAUGGUAUUGGAUAAAAUGAAACAGCUACGACAUGUUAAAGAAAUUGUAAACACCCGGAUUCACCGACCACAGAUGAAGAGUCUCUGACGGAAGCUCCACAAUUAAACCUUUCU